ANGNAUGGCAGGGGGGAACCUGUAUCCAGCCUNCCCGCGUGGAGAGAUGAAGGCCUUAGGGUUNCAAAACUCUUUCGGCGGGGACGAUAAUGACGGUACCCGCAGUAAGAAGCUCCGGCUAACUUCGUGCCAGCAGCCGCGGUCAAUACNAAGGGGGCUAGCGUUGUUCGGAAUUACUGGGCGUAAAGCGCGCGCAGGCGGCCAUUCAAGUCAGGGGUGAAAGCCCAGAGCUCAACUCUGGAACUGCCUUUGAAACUGUUUGGNUUGAGUACGAGAGAGGUGAGUGGAAUUCCCAGUGUANAGGUGAAAUUCGUANAUAUUGGGAAGAACACCGGUGGCGUAAGGCGGCUCACUGGCUCGUAACUGACGCUCAAGCGCGACAGCGUGGGGAUCAAACAGGAUUANAUACCCUGGUAGUCCACNCCGUUANACUUAUGAACGCUAGCCGUUNGGCCCANCUUGCUGGUCANUUGGCGNCAUCUAACNCNUUANGCGUUCCGCCUGGNNAGUACGGCCGCAAGGNUGAAACUCNNAGGAAUUGACGGGA
RNAcentral lists this ribosomal RNA (547 nucleotides) under uncultured bacterium. RNAcentral's name for it is "partial 16S ribosomal RNA". It matches the Rfam family "Bacterial small subunit ribosomal RNA", at positions 359 to 918 of the family's 1533-position model. The record is from RNAcentral.